UACGUAGGGUGCAAGCGUUGUCCGGAAUUAUUGGGCGUAAAGAGCUCGUAGGCGGUUUGUCGCGUCUGCUGUGAAAACCCGAGGCUCAACCUCGGGCCUGCAGUGGGUACGGGCAGACUAGAGUGUGGUAGGGGAGACUGGAAUUCCUGGUGUAGCGGUGGAAUGCGCAGAUAUCAGGAGGAACACCGGUGGCGAAGGCGGGUCUCUGGGCCGAUACUGACGCUGAGGCUCGAAAGCGUGGGGAGCAAACAGG
RNAcentral lists this ribosomal RNA (253 nucleotides) under uncultured bacterium. RNAcentral describes it as "partial 16S ribosomal RNA". It matches the Rfam family "Bacterial small subunit ribosomal RNA", at positions 524 to 776 of the family's 1533-position model. The record is from RNAcentral.